This 805-nucleotide ribosomal RNA is filed under the name uncultured bacterium. RNAcentral describes it as "bacterial SSU rRNA". It matches the Rfam family "Bacterial small subunit ribosomal RNA", at positions 8 to 811 of the family's 1533-position model. The record is from RNAcentral.
AGAGUUCCCUUCUGGCUCAGGAUGAACGCUGGCGGCGUGCUUAACACAUGCAAGUCGAACGAAGCACUUAAGACGGAUUACUUCGGUUUGAAGUCUUAUUUGACUGAGUGGCGGACGGGUGAGUAACGCGUGGGUAACCUGCCUCAUACAGGGGGAUAACAGUUAGAAAUGACUGCUAAUACCGCAUAAGCGCACGGUCUCGCAUGGGACAGUGUGAAAAACUCCGGUGGUAUGAGAUGGACCCGCGUCUGAUUAGCUGGUUGGUGAGGUAAGGGCUCACCAAGGCGACGAUCAGUAGCCGGCCUGAGAGGGUGAACGGCCACAUUGGGACUGAGACACGGCCCAAACUCCUACGGGAGGCAGCAGUGGGGAAUAUUGCACAAUGGGGGAAACCCUGAUGCAGCGACGCCGCGUGAAGGAAGAAGUAUUUCGGUAUGUAAACUUCUAUGAGCAGGGAAGAAAAUGACGGUACCUGACUAAGAAGCCCCGGCUAACUACGUGCCAGCAGCCGCGGUAAUACGUAGGGGGCAAGCGUUAUCCGGAAUUACUGGGUGUAAAGGGAGCGUAGACGGUGAUGCAAGUCUGGAGUGAAAGGCGGGGGCCCAACCCCCGGACUGCUCUGGAAACUGUGUAACUUGAGUGCAGGAGAGGUAAGCGGAAUUCCUAGUGUAGCGGUGAAAUGAGUAGAUAUUAGGAGGAACACCAGUGGCGAAGGCGGCUUACUGGACUGUAACUGACGUUGAGGCUCGAAAGCGUGGGGAGCAAACAGGAUUAGAUACCCUGGUAGUCCACGCCGUAAACGAUG